RNAcentral lists this long non-coding RNA (352 nucleotides) under Amborella trichopoda. RNAcentral's name for it is "long non-coding RNA (ATRI_LNC005061)". Lineage: Eukaryota; Viridiplantae; Streptophyta; Magnoliopsida; Amborellales; Amborellaceae. The record is from RNAcentral.
GAGGAUAUAGAUCUGUUGGUUUCAUCAUGAAACCAAAGUUCAAGAGUCGUUAGAGAGGACCAAGAGAACCAUUGCCAAGCCAAUAUACAAAAUACUAAGCAAGAAAUACUUUAUUGGCAACGAAGAUUGAGAUGCAAAUUGUAGAAGCAGAGACAACUCCUCUAAAUCAAAGACGGGCAGAAUUUAUGAUGACCUUUAGUAGUUAUUUCUGAAAGAUUUUCUCGGUAGAAGAGGUGGAGCCAAUCUCCAGUUCCGAAGAAUCACUAACAGUGAUGAAGCAUGGCUAGAGUGGCCAUUUUUGGAGUUUGAAGUACUUAAAGCUAUCACAAAGCUUGGCCAAGACAAAGCCCUG